RNAcentral lists this ribosomal RNA (468 nucleotides) under uncultured bacterium. Its description in RNAcentral is "partial 16S ribosomal RNA". It matches the Rfam family "Bacterial small subunit ribosomal RNA", at positions 28 to 507 of the family's 1533-position model. The record is from RNAcentral.
GACGAACGCUGGCGGCGUGCUUAACACAUGCAAGUCGAACGGAAAGGCCCUGCUUUUGUGGGGUGCUCGAGUGGCGAACGGGUGAGUAACACGUGAGUAACCUGCCCUUGACUUUGGGAUAACUUCAGGAAACUGGGGCUAAUACCGGAUAGGAGCUCCUGCUGCAUGGUGGGGGUUGGAAAGUUUCGGCGGUUGGGGAUGGACUCGCGGCUUAUCAGCUUGUUGGUGGGGUAGUGGCUUACCAAGGCUUUGACGGGUAGCCGGCCUGAGAGGGUGACCGGGCACCAUGGGACUGAGGGACGGACCAGACGCCUACGGGAGGCAAGAGGUGGGAAUAUUGCAAAAUGGGCGGAAGCCUGAUGCAGCAACGCCGCGUGCGGGAUGACGGCCUUCGGGUUGUAAACCGCUUUCGCCUGUGACGAAGCGUGAGUGACGGUAAUGGGUAAAGAAGCACCGGCUAACUACGUG